Molecule: long non-coding RNA, 632 nt
Organism: Echinops telfairi (small Madagascar hedgehog)
Lineage: Eukaryota; Metazoa; Chordata; Mammalia; Afrosoricida; Tenrecidae
Exons: 2
Source: RefSeq, a predicted model, not a curated record
GGGAAUUCCUUUCUCCCGCCCUCCCGUGGUCCGGGAGACCGAGGCCACGACCUGAAGCAUCUCUCGGCUUGGGGACAUGAAGGCGCCUCGGCUGCCCGCACUGUAACAGUUUGCACCAUCCGGCGACUCCUCGGCAAGCACUGGGUCCCUGCAUUAUUAAGCUGCCACGCUCGGCUUGCAUUCGUUUUUGAAAGAUUGAGGAACAGGAAUGAAACAAAUACGUGUAUGUAUUGAUGGACGAACAAAGGGAACUCCUUUCAGUGAUAUUCUGAGAGAGACCUUGGGCCCCCCAGGAGGGCGAGAAGCAGCGGAGAACUGCCAAGACUUGCUGCUAGCCGGCCACGCAGACUCACCAGUGCAACCCAUGCCUCUGGUUAGAGCCAAGGAUCCCACAAACUUUGGUCAGGACAGAGCUAAUGGCAGGACCGAAUUAAAUCGGGGCAAGAAUGGGAGGAGAGCCUAGCAAACAUGAGGAUUCAUUUUUUCCUUUCUUUUUUCCAAACCUCCCAGUAGCUUGCCCUGUCCUCACCUCCCACCCUCCAGCAUGAGGAUUUUAAAGGAAAGUAUAAAUCACACAUUUUGAUUUACAAAACCACAAAACUCUGGCAAGGAAAUAAAAUUUACCACCAUCA